GUACACGCUGUGACUAGCAUAUCAAUAAGCGGAGGAAAAGAAACUAACAAGGAUUCCCUUAGUAACGGCGAGUGAAGCGGGAAGAGCUCAAAUUUGAAAUCUUCAAGGUUUUACCUUGACGAAUUGUAGUUUAAAGAAGUGUUUUCUGUUGAAGUUUUGGUAAAGGUUCUUUGGAAUAGGACAUCAUAGAGGGUGAGAAUCCCGUAUUUGACCAUUAUUUUCAGCUGUGUGAUACACUUUCAAAGAGUCGGAUUGUUUGGGAAUGCAGUCCAAAAUGGGUGGUAAAUUUCAUCUAAAGCUAAAUAUUGGCGAGAGACCGAUAGCGAACAAGUACCGUGAGGGAAAGAUGAAAAGAACUUUGAAAAGAGAGUUAAACAGUACGUGAAAUUGUCAAAAGGGAAGCGUUUGACACCAGUGUUGUUUUCUCGAAAAUCAAUUAAAAAAGGCAGGAUUUUGUGUUGUAUUGACUUUAUCAGCUUUCUGCACUCUUUUCUUGUCUUUUUUAAUGCACUUUUCGUUUAACAAGUCAACAUCAAUUUCUUUUGUUGUAAAAGGGUCAUUGGAAGGUGGCUUUCUUUUCGGAGAAAGUGUUUAUAGCCUUUGGCCUCUGCAAUCGGAGAGAUUGAGGUCUGCAGCGUAGAUCCUCCGGGGUUAGAUACAUUUGUGCUAAGUUAUAGCCUUUCAUAGACAACUUGUUGACUAUGAUCAGUCAUGUAGCUUACUCGCUUAUGCUAUUUUACCUACGCUUAGGAUGUUGAAGACUCUACAGAGAU
Molecule: ribosomal RNA, 773 nt
Filed under: uncultured Neocallimastigales
Lineage: Eukaryota; Fungi; Neocallimastigomycota; Neocallimastigomycetes; Neocallimastigales
Description: partial large subunit ribosomal RNA
Rfam family: Eukaryotic large subunit ribosomal RNA
Source: RNAcentral